GGCGGACGGUGAGUAAUGUGUAGAGAAUCUGGCCCUUAUGGGGACAACAGUUGGAAACGACUGCUAAUACCCCAUAUGCGCGUAGCUGAGAUGCUAUUCGUGAAAACUCCGGUGCUAAAGGAUGAGUCUGCAUCUGAUUAGCUAGUUGGCGGUGUAAUGGACCGACCAAGGCGACGAUCAGUAGCUGGUUUGAGAGGAUGAUCAGCCACAAUGGGACUGAGACACGGCCCAUACUCCUACGGGAGGCAGCAGUAGGGAAUUUUGCGCAAUGGGGGAAACCCUGACGCAAGCAACGCCGCGUGAUUGAAUAAGCCCUUCGGGGUGUAAAGAUCUGUCAGUAGGGACGAAACUUGACGGUACCUACAGAGGAAGCAUCGGCUAACUCCGUGCCAGCAGCCGC
RNAcentral lists this ribosomal RNA (400 nucleotides) under uncultured bacterium. RNAcentral's name for it is "bacterial SSU rRNA". It matches the Rfam family "Bacterial small subunit ribosomal RNA", at positions 97 to 518 of the family's 1533-position model. The record is from RNAcentral.